RNAcentral lists this transfer RNA (72 nucleotides) under Gracilaria urvillei. Its description in RNAcentral is "tRNA-Val". It matches the Rfam family "tRNA". From Rfam's summary of the family: Transfer RNA (tRNA) molecules are approximately 80 nucleotides in length. The record is from RNAcentral. Lineage: Eukaryota; Rhodophyta; Florideophyceae; Gracilariales; Gracilariaceae.
GGGCGGUUAGCUCAGAGGUAGAGCGCCUGCCUUACAAGCAAGUGGUCACUGGUUCAAGUCCAGUACCGCCCA